This 400-nucleotide unclassified non-coding RNA is filed under the name soil metagenome. RNAcentral describes it as "partial contains 5.8S ribosomal RNA, internal transcribed spacer 2, and large subunit ribosomal RNA". The stretch from base 1 to 122 matches the Rfam family "5.8S ribosomal RNA", at positions 35 to 154 of the family's 154-position model. The record is from RNAcentral.
GAUGAAGAACGCAGCGAAAUGCGAUACUUGGUGUGAAUUGCAGAAUCCCGUGAACCAUCGAGUCUUUGAACGCAAGUUGCGCCUCAAGCCAUUAGGUUGAGGGCACGUCUGCCUGGGCGUCACAUAUCGUUGCCUGAUGCCGGUUUCCUCGUGAUGGGUGACUGUGCAGGGCGAAUGAUGGCUUCCCGUGAGCAUUGUUGCCUCAUGGUUGGUUGAAAAUUGAGUCCUUGGUAGGGAGCGCCGUGAUAGAUGGUGGUUGAGUGACGAACGAGACCCAAUCAUGUGAGACCCCUACCGAAUUUGGCCUUCAUGACCCACAUGCGUCUUUGGAACGCUCAUGACGAGACCUCAGGUCAGGCGGGGCUACCCGCUGAGUUUAAGCAUAUCAAUAAGCGGAGGA